This 19-nucleotide transfer RNA is filed under the name Betta foerschi. RNAcentral describes it as "partial tRNA-Thr". RNAcentral also lists the same sequence under 1 other name. The record is from RNAcentral. Lineage: Eukaryota; Metazoa; Chordata; Actinopteri; Anabantiformes; Osphronemidae.
GCCCUAGUAGCUCAGUGCC